AUUGAACGCUGGCGGCAUGCUUUACACAUGCAAGUCGAACGGCAGCGCGGGCUUCGGCCUGGCGGCGAGUGGCGAACGGGUGAGUAAUGCAUCGGAACGUGCCCAGUAGUGGGGGAUAGCCCGGCGAAAGCCGGAUUAAUACCGCAUACGACCUGAGGGUGAAAGCGGGGGACCGAAAGGCCUCGCGCUAUUGGAGCGGCCGAUGUCGGAUUAGCUAGUUGGUGGGGUAAAGGCUUACCAAGGCGACGAUCCGUAGCUGGUCUGAGAGGACGACCAGCCACACUGGGACUGAGACACGGCCCAGACUCCUACGGGAGGCAGCAGUGGGGAAUUUUGGACAAUGGGGGCAACCCUGAUCCAGCCAUGCCGCGUGCGGGAAGAAGGCCUUCGGGUUGUAAACCGCUUUUGUUCGGGAAGAAAUCCUCUGGGCUAAUACCCCGGGGGGAUGACGGUACCGGAAGAAUAUGCACCGGCUAACUACGUG
Molecule: ribosomal RNA, 484 nt
Filed under: uncultured bacterium
Lineage: Bacteria
Description: partial 16S ribosomal RNA
Rfam family: Bacterial small subunit ribosomal RNA
Source: RNAcentral